UUCUCAUCCCCUUUCUGAUGUGGGCCUUUGGUGUGAGGUGGUUUCUCAUCCCCUUUGUGAUAUGGGCCCUUUGAUGUGAGGUGGCUUCUCAUCCCCAUUGUGAUGUGGGCCCUUUGGUGUGAGGUGGUUUAUCAUCCCCUUUGUGAUGUGGGCACUGUGGUGUGAGGUGGUUUGUCAUUCCCUUUGUGAUGUGGGCCCUUUGGUGUGAGGUGGUUUGUCAUCCCCUUUGUGAUUUGGGUGCUUUAGUGUGAGGUGGUUUCUCAUCACCUUGGUGAUGUGGGCUCUGUGGUGUGAAGUGGUUUCUCAUCCCCUUUGUGAUGUGGGCCCUUUGGUGUGAGGCGGUUUCUCAUCCCCUUUGUGAUGUGGGCUCUGUG
Long non-coding RNA from Balaenoptera musculus (blue whale), 374 nucleotides. RefSeq lists it as uncharacterized. The transcript has 4 exons. The record is from RefSeq and is a predicted model, not a curated record. Lineage: Eukaryota; Metazoa; Chordata; Mammalia; Artiodactyla; Balaenopteridae.